This 460-nucleotide ribosomal RNA is filed under the name uncultured bacterium. Its description in RNAcentral is "partial 16S ribosomal RNA". It matches the Rfam family "Bacterial small subunit ribosomal RNA", at positions 338 to 795 of the family's 1533-position model. The record is from RNAcentral.
CCUACGGGUGGCUGCAGUGAGGAAUAUUGGUCAAUGGGCGCGAGCCUGAACCAGCCAAGUCGCGUGAAGGAUGACUGCCCUACGGGUUGUAAACCUCUUUUGUCAGGGAACAAAGUGAGCCACGUGUGCCGUUUUGCAUGUACCUUAUGAAAAAGGAUCGGCUAACUCCGUGCCAGCAGCCGCGGUAAUACGGAGGAUUCGAGCGUUAUCCGGAUUUAUUGGGUUUAAAGGGGGCGUAGACGGGUUGUUAAGUCAGUUGUGAAAGUUUGCGGCUCAACCGUAAAAUUGCAAUUGAUACUGGCAGUCUUGAGUACAGGUGAGGUAGGCGGAAUUCGUGGUGUAGCGGUGAAAUGCUUAGAUAUCACGAAGAACUCCGAUUGCGAAGGCAGCUUACUAAACUGCCACUGACAUUGAUGCUCGAAAGUGUGGGUAUCAAACAGGAUUAGAUACCCCGGUAGUC